This 253-nucleotide ribosomal RNA is filed under the name uncultured bacterium. Its description in RNAcentral is "partial 16S ribosomal RNA". It matches the Rfam family "Bacterial small subunit ribosomal RNA", at positions 524 to 776 of the family's 1533-position model. The record is from RNAcentral.
UACGUAGGGGGCAAGCGUUGUCCGGAUUUAUUGGGCGUAAAGAGCGUGUAGGCGGCCUGGAAGGUCAGCUGUGAAAACUCGAGGCUCAACCUCGAGCUGUCGGUUGAAACCACCUGGCUAGAGUCCGGAAGAGGAGAGUGGAAUUCCCGGUGUAGCGGUGAAAUGCGCAGAUAUCGGGAAGAACACCCGUGGCGAAGGCGGCUCUCUGGGACGGUACUGACGCUGAGACGCGAAAGCGUGGGGAGCGAACAGG